Molecule: ribosomal RNA, 301 nt
Filed under: uncultured bacterium
Lineage: Bacteria
Description: partial 16S ribosomal RNA
Rfam family: Bacterial small subunit ribosomal RNA
Source: RNAcentral
CAGCAGCCACGGUAAGACAGAGGUCCCGAGCGUUGUUCGGAUUCAUUGGGCGUAAAGGGUGUGUAGGAGGCCAGGUAAGUCAGGUGUGAAAUCUCAGAGCUUAACUCUGAAACUGCGCUUGAUACUGCUUGGCUAGAGGAUCGGAGGGGGUAACGGAAUUUAUGGUGUAGCAGUGAAAUGCGUAGAUAUCAUAAGGAACACCGGUGGCGAAGGCGGUUACCUGGAAGAUUCCUGACUCUGAAACACGAAAGUCAGGGGAGCAAACGGGAUUAGAUACCCGAGUAGUCCCUGUCUCUUAUAC